GGAAAAAGCCCCAAGACUUCGAUUAAACAGUUCGUAUACCUAAUAAGCCCGAAUACUUCUCUAACAGUUCGUAAACCUCUGUUUUGAAUGAAUUAGCAGAGAACUGCUAUGACAAAUUCAAAUAAUUAGAGUUCGUGAAAUUCAGCGAAUUAGCGAACGAAGCUGCUCGUCACCUCCAUUGACAACAGCUGCUCAUCUUUGAGGUUUUUCUCAUCACGGUCAGUCGCCUAUUAGACUUGAUUGUUCACAGCCUUUACAGUCACAAGGAGGUUUUCUUGCGAGAGCUUGUUAGAUAAAAAACUUGAAGCCCGAAGAACCUAUCCUUGAAGAAAGUGUAGAGCAAGUUGAAGUACAAGAGGUUUUUGGUUCGUGAUGGUUUAAAAACAGUCUUAUGUACAUAUAUAUGUUACAAUUUUACUUUUUUUUCUUUUUAGGAAUUAUUAAAAAUGAUGAUUAACUCAUCUCAUUUUAUGCUUCCAGUUGUCUCUUGGAUGGGUUUGCGUUAUUUUUACUUUUCAUUGUUUUAGUAAGAUGGGUUUAUUACAAUUUGGAUUGGUUUUCGGUAAAUAUGAUACUUUAGUUCUUUGUAUUAACAAGAUAUGAAGUAUUUGGUUUAUUUUUCAAUGUUGUUGAGCG
Molecule: long non-coding RNA, 636 nt
Organism: Nicotiana tabacum (common tobacco)
Lineage: Eukaryota; Viridiplantae; Streptophyta; Magnoliopsida; Solanales; Solanaceae
Source: RefSeq, a predicted model, not a curated record